AUACGUAGGGUGCAAGCGUUAAUCGGAAUUACUGGGCGUAAAGCGUGCGCAGGCGGUUUUGUAAGACAGUGGUGAAAUCCCCGGGCUCAACCUGGGAACUGCCAUUGUGACUGCAAAGCUGGAGGGCGGCAGAGGGGGAUGGAAUUCCGCGUGUAGCAGUGAAAUGCGUAGAUAUGCGGAGGAACACCGAUGGCGAAGGCAAUCCCCGGGGCCUGCUCUGACGCUCAUGCACGAAAGCGUGGGGAGCAAACAGGAUUAGAUACCCUGGUAGUCCACGCCCUAAACGAUGUCAACUGGUUGUUGGGGAUUUAUUUUCUCAGUAACGAAGCUAACGCGUGAAGUUGACCGCCUGGGGAGUACGGCCGCAAGGUUAAAACUUAAAGGAAUUGACGGGG
Molecule: ribosomal RNA, 395 nt
Filed under: uncultured bacterium
Lineage: Bacteria
Description: partial 16S ribosomal RNA
Rfam family: Bacterial small subunit ribosomal RNA
Source: RNAcentral